RNAcentral lists this ribosomal RNA (700 nucleotides) under Agromyces iriomotensis. RNAcentral's name for it is "bacterial SSU rRNA". It matches the Rfam family "Bacterial small subunit ribosomal RNA", at positions 62 to 768 of the family's 1533-position model. The record is from RNAcentral. Lineage: Bacteria; Bacillati; Actinomycetota; Actinomycetes; Micrococcales; Microbacteriaceae.
UCGAACGAUGAACUCCAGCUUGCUGGGGGGAUUAGUGGCGAACGGGUGAGUAACACGUGAGUAACCUGCCCUGGACUCUGGGAUAACCCCGAGAAAUCGGAGCUAAUACCGGAUAGGACCCUGGACCGCAUGGUUUGGGGUGGAAAGUUUUUCGGUCUGGGAUGGACUCGCGGCCUAUCAGCUUGUUGGUGAGGUAAUGGCUCACCAAGGCGUCGACGGGUAGCCGGCCUGAGAGGGUGACCGGCCACACUGGGACUGAGACACGGCCCAGACUCCUACGGGAGGCAGCAGUGGGGAAUAUUGCACAAUGGGCGCAAGCCUGAUGCAGCAACGCCGCGUGCGGGAUGACGGCCUUCGGGUUGUAAACCGCUUUUAGUAAGGAAGAAGGGGAGCUUGCUCCUUGACGGUACUUGCAGAAAAAGGACCGGCUAACUACGUGCCAGCAGCCGCGGUAAUACGUAGGGUCCGAGCGUUGUCCGGAAUUAUUGGGCGUAAAGAGCUCGUAGGCGGUUUGUCGCGUCUGCUGUGAAAUCCCGAGGCUCAACCUCGGGCCUGCAGUGGGUACGGGCAGACUGGAGUGCGGUAGGGGAGAAUGGAAUUCCUGGUGUAGCGGUGGAAUGCGCAGAUUUCAGGAGGAACACCGAUGGCGAAGGCAGUUCUCUGGGCCGUAACUGACGCUAAGGAACGAAACCUGGGGGAG